RNAcentral lists this unclassified non-coding RNA (431 nucleotides) under Hevea brasiliensis (rubber tree). The record is from RNAcentral. Lineage: Eukaryota; Viridiplantae; Streptophyta; Magnoliopsida; Malpighiales; Euphorbiaceae.
UGAUAAGCUGCCUUUUCUUUGAAAUCGAAUUAGGCACUAAAAGACCAACACAGCAAUCAAUUUGGGACCCUUAUGUGUCCAUGAUUAUAUAUGCCCACGUCUCCAACUUUUAUAAUAACCUCCGAUUCAUGUGAAAGAAAACCACUUCACACGCUGCUACAUUUUUAGGUCCGCCGUGUCUUCGUCUUGGAAGUACUUAUCCUAGGCUUUAAUGUCAUGACCCACCAGCUACAGCACAGGUCAGUCAAUGGAAAUGGGCCUAACGAGUCUUUAAAUUUUCUUUAAAGCAACAAUAUAAAAACGCUCUUUAUUUUCUGCAUGAGGACAUGAUGAUGAGACAAUGGCUGCGACUCCACUCAGAAAAGGGAAGUACUGAGAAAAUUUGGAGAUCACUAAAGAACAAAAUUCAUAAUUUCAGCCACCGACAAUUG